AUACUGUAUGUAACUGAUCCUAUGCUAUGAUAAACUGUAGCACACAGAGCAUUAAUAGAGAAUCAAUGUUGGAAUACUGAGGCCCUCUAGCUGUUGUUAAACUACAAGUGCCAACACCCUCAGCCAGAUUUGAAUCCUGGGAGUGGUAAAAUGACACAGGAAGGUAAGCAGCUGACAAUUAUGAUUAUGUCUAUAGCUGUCUCUAUGUAAC
Pelobates cultripes (western spadefoot toad) is the source of this 211-nucleotide non-coding RNA. NCBI's taxonomy places the organism in Eukaryota, Metazoa, Chordata, Amphibia, Anura, Pelobatidae. The record is from the annotation of a GenBank genome assembly.